CAGCCGCCACGGUAAUACGAAGGGUGCAAGCGUUAAUCGGAAUUACUGGGCGUAAAGCGUGCGUAGGCGGUUUGUUAAGUCUGCUGUGAAAUCCCCGGGCUCAACCUGGGAAUGGCAGUGGAUACUGGCAAGCUAGAGUGUGUCAGAGGAUGGUGGGAUUCCCGGUGUAGCGGCGAAAUGCGUAGAGAUCGGGAGGAACAUCAGUGGCGAAGGCGGCCAUCUGGGACAACACUGACGCUGAGGCACGAAAGCGUGGGGAGCAAACAGGAUUAGAUACCCCCGUAGUCCCUGUCUCUUAUAC
Molecule: ribosomal RNA, 301 nt
Filed under: uncultured bacterium
Lineage: Bacteria
Description: partial 16S ribosomal RNA
Rfam family: Bacterial small subunit ribosomal RNA
Source: RNAcentral